GGGAACCUCACCCGGCCCGGACACCGCGAGGAUUGACAGACUGAGAGCUCUUUCUCGAUUCGGUGGGUGGUGGUGCAUGGCCGUUCUUAGUUGGUGGAGCGAUCUGUCUGGUUAAUUCCGAUAACGAACGAGACCCCAACCUGCUAACUAGCCCUCGGGUCCUGCUUCUGUUGGGCCCGACGGAAUGAUUCGCUUCUUAGAGGGACUCGCGGCGCUUAGCCGCACGAAGGGGGGCGAUAA
RNAcentral lists this ribosomal RNA (240 nucleotides) under uncultured eukaryote. RNAcentral describes it as "partial 18S ribosomal RNA". It matches the Rfam family "Eukaryotic small subunit ribosomal RNA", at positions 1208 to 1456 of the family's 1831-position model. The record is from RNAcentral.